GGAUGGAUGGAUCCCGAUGUGCAUGACCGAAGGCAGAUACUCGCCAAGCGAGUGUUAUCUAAUUAGCACCGACUUAGUGUUACUCUCAGGUAUUUGUUGCUGGCUAGAGCUAACCAGGAUUCAUAUCGGUGGGCUCGAUGUGACGUCCUCACGUCUUCGUAGUAUCGUGGUUUUUAUAUCGAACUUCUUUUUAAUUACCGCUGCAUUUCGAACUUUGGUAUUUUACAUAAACUUGUUUGUAAAACUCCACAUUGUAAAUUAAAUUUGAAAAUUUGUUGUCUGCUUGUAAUCAUCUGUGCUCGUCUUCGUGCGAAA
This is a long non-coding RNA of Panicum virgatum (switchgrass), 315 nucleotides long. RefSeq lists it as uncharacterized. Lineage: Eukaryota; Viridiplantae; Streptophyta; Magnoliopsida; Poales; Poaceae. The record is from RefSeq and is a predicted model, not a curated record. The transcript has 2 exons.